RNAcentral lists this ribosomal RNA (235 nucleotides) under uncultured soil bacterium. RNAcentral's name for it is "partial 16S ribosomal RNA". It matches the Rfam family "Bacterial small subunit ribosomal RNA", at positions 26 to 292 of the family's 1533-position model. The record is from RNAcentral.
AGAACGAACGCUGGCGGCAGGCCUAACACAUGCAAGUCGAACGGAUGUAGCAAUACAUCAGUGGCAGACGGGUGAGUAACGCGUGGGAAUCUCCCCAGAGGUACGGAACAACUCAGGGAAACUUGAGCUAAUACCGUAUGUGCCCGAGAGGGCAAAGAUUUAUCGCUCUGGAUGAGCCCGCGUUGGAUUAGCUAGUUGGUGGGUAACGCUACAAGGCUACGAUCCAUAGCUGAUC